GAUGAACGCUAGCGGCAGGCCUAACACAUGCAAGUCGAGGGGCAGCGGGAAAAAGCUUGCUUUUUUGCCGGCGACCGGCGGACGGGUGAGUAACGCGUAGGUAUCUAUCCAUGGGUGGGGGAUAACAGUGGGAAACUGCUGCUAAUACCGCAUGACACCUGAGGGUCAAAGGCGCAAGUCGCCUGUGGAGGAGCCUUCGUCCGAUUAGCUAGUUGGUGGGGUAAAGGCCUACCAAGGCGACGAUCGGUAGCUGGUCUGAGAGGAUGAUCAGCCACACUGGGACUGAGACACGGCCCAGACUCCUACGGGAGGCAGCAGUGGGGAAUAUUGGACAAUGGGCGCAAGCCUGAUCCAGCAAUGCCGCGUGGAUGAAGAAGGUCUUCGGAUUGUAAAGUCCUUUCGUACGGGGACGAUGAUGACGGUACCCGUACGAAGAAGCCCCGGCUAACUUCGUG
RNAcentral lists this ribosomal RNA (455 nucleotides) under uncultured bacterium. Its description in RNAcentral is "bacterial SSU rRNA". It matches the Rfam family "Bacterial small subunit ribosomal RNA", at positions 28 to 507 of the family's 1533-position model. The record is from RNAcentral.